Molecule: ribosomal RNA, 252 nt
Filed under: uncultured bacterium
Lineage: Bacteria
Description: partial 16S ribosomal RNA
Rfam family: Bacterial small subunit ribosomal RNA
Source: RNAcentral
UACGUAGGUGGCAAGCGUUGUCCGGAUUUACUGGGCGUAAAGGGCGUGCAGGCGGUCUGUUAAGUCUAGGGUGAAAGCUCCCGGCUCAACUGGGAGGGUCAUUCGAUACUGAUCGACUCGAAGGCAGGAGAGGGUAGUGGAAUUCCCGGUGUAGUGGUGAAAUGCGUAGAUAUCGGGAGGAACACCAGUGGCGAAGGCGACUACCUGGCCUGUUCUUGACGCUGAGGCGCGAAAGCUAGGGGAGCAAACGGG